AAACAUGUCUUUAAGAAAAUAAUUUAAAGUYUGAUYUGCUCCAUGAUUGAAUUUAAAUAGCUGCAGAAUCCUGACUGUACAAAGGUAGCAUAAUCAAUAGUUUUUUAAUUGAAAGCUGGAAUGAAUGAUUUGAUAAGGUAAAAAUUGUCUCAAAUUUAAUAAUUUUGGAAUUUUUUUUUUAGUAAAAAUACUAGAAUGAUUUUAAAAGACGAGAAGACCCUAUAGAUUUUUAUAUUUUAUUUUAAAUUGAAUAGUAAAUUUAAUUAAUAGAUUUAAAUGAAAAAUAUUUGGUUGGGGAAAUUAUUAAAUUAAAAAAAUUUUAAUUAAUAUGAAACAUAAAUUAUUGAAUAUUUGAUCUUGAUUUUUAGAUUAAUAGAAUAAAAUACCUUAGGGAUAACAGCGUAAUUUUUUUGGAGAGAUCUUAUUGAUAAAAAAGUUUGCGACCUCGAUGUUGAAUUAGAAUAAAAUUUUAAUGAAGAAGUUAAAAAUUUUUGGUCUGUUCGACCAUUAAAAUUCUACGUGAU
RNAcentral lists this ribosomal RNA (524 nucleotides) under Acroricnus peronatus. RNAcentral's name for it is "partial 16S large subunit ribosomal RNA". The stretch from base 393 to 524 matches the Rfam family "Archaeal large subunit ribosomal RNA", at positions 2544 to 2675 of the family's 2987-position model. Lineage: Eukaryota; Metazoa; Arthropoda; Insecta; Hymenoptera; Ichneumonidae. The record is from RNAcentral.